RNAcentral lists this ribosomal RNA (253 nucleotides) under uncultured bacterium. RNAcentral's name for it is "partial 16S ribosomal RNA". It matches the Rfam family "Bacterial small subunit ribosomal RNA", at positions 524 to 776 of the family's 1533-position model. The record is from RNAcentral.
UACGUAGGGGGCAAGCGUUGUCCGGAUUUAUUGGGCGUAAAGAGCGUGUAGGCGGCUAGAUAGGUCCGUUGUGAAAACUCGAGGCUCAACCUCGAGACGCCGAUGGAAACCAUCUAGCUAGAGUCCGGAAGAGGAGAAUGGAAUUCCUGGUGUAGCGGUGAAAUGCGCAGAUAUCAGGAAGAACACCCGUGGCUAAGGCGGUUCUCUAGUACGGUACUGACGCUGAGGCACGAAAGCGUGGGGAGCAAACAGG